Molecule: ribosomal RNA, 265 nt
Filed under: uncultured prokaryote
Description: partial 16S ribosomal RNA
Rfam family: Bacterial small subunit ribosomal RNA
Source: RNAcentral
UACGUAGGUGGCGAGCGUUGUCCGGAAUUACUGGGUGUAAAGGGAGCGUAGGCGGGUCGGCAAGUCAGUGGUGAAGUACAUGGGCUUAACCCAUGAAUUGCCAUUGAAACUGCCGGUCUUGAGUGGAUCAGAGGCAAGCGGAAUUCCGAGUGUAGCGGUGAAAUGCGUAGAUAUUCGGAGGAACACCAGUGGCGAAGGCGGCUUGCUGGGGUCUAACUGACGCUGAGGCUCGAAAGUGUGGGGAGCAAACAGGAUUAGAUACCCU